This 253-nucleotide ribosomal RNA is filed under the name uncultured bacterium. Its description in RNAcentral is "partial 16S ribosomal RNA". It matches the Rfam family "Bacterial small subunit ribosomal RNA", at positions 524 to 776 of the family's 1533-position model. The record is from RNAcentral.
UACGUAGGUGGCGAGCGUUGUCCGGAUUUACUGGGUGUAAAGGGCGUGUAGGCGGGUUCGUAAGUCAGAUGUGAAAUUCCGAGGCUUAACCUCGGCGCUGCAUCUGAAACUAUGAAUCUUGAGUGAUGGAGAGGAAAGCGGAAUUCCUAGUGUAGCGGUGAAAUGCGUAGAUAUUAGGAGGAACACCAGUGGCGAAGGCGGCUUUCUGGACAUUAACUGACGCUGAGGCGCGAAAGCGUGGGGAGCAAACAGG